UGGGGUGUGGAUCCGUGGUAGAGCAUGUGCUCAGCAUGCAGAAGGCCCUGGGUUGGAUCCUCAGCAGCCCUG
Molecule: transfer RNA, 72 nt
Filed under: Marmota monax (woodchuck)
Lineage: Eukaryota; Metazoa; Chordata; Mammalia; Rodentia; Sciuridae
Description: tRNA.Ala
Source: RNAcentral